RNAcentral lists this ribosomal RNA (745 nucleotides) under Escherichia coli. RNAcentral describes it as "partial 23S ribosomal RNA". It matches the Rfam family "Bacterial large subunit ribosomal RNA", at positions 584 to 1328 of the family's 2925-position model. The record is from RNAcentral. Lineage: Bacteria; Pseudomonadati; Pseudomonadota; Gammaproteobacteria; Enterobacterales; Enterobacteriaceae.
CUUAGGCGUGUGACUGCGUACCUUUUGUAUAAUGGGUCAGCGACUUAUAUUCUGUAGCAAGGUUAACCGAAUAGGGGAGCCGAAGGGAAACCGAGUCUUAACUGGGCGUUAAGUUGCAGGGUAUAGACCCGAAACCCGGUGAUCUAGCCAUGGGCAGGUUGAAGGUUGGGUAACACUAACUGGAGGACCGAACCGACUAAUGUUGAAAAAUUAGCGGAUGACUUGUGGCUGGGGGUGAAAGGCCAAUCAAACCGGGAGAUAGCUGGUUCUCCCCGAAAGCUAUUUAGGUAGCGCCUCGUGAAUUCAUCUCCGGGGGUAGAGCACUGUUUCGGCAAGGGGGUCAUCCCGACUUACCAACCCGAUGCAAACUGCGAAUACCGGAGAAUGUUAUCACGGGAGACACACGGCGGGUGCUAACGUCCGUCGUGAAGAGGGAAACAACCCAGACCGCCAGCUAAGGUCCCAAAGUCAUGGUUAAGUGGGAAACGAUGUGGGAAGGCCCAGACAGCCAGGAUGUUGGCUUAGAAGCAGCCAUCAUUUAAAGAAAGCGUAAUAGCUCACUGGUCGAGUCGGCCUGCGCGGAAGAUGUAACGGGGCUAAACCAUGCACCGAAGCUGCGGCAGCGACGCUGAUGCGUUGUUGGGUAGGGGAGCGUUCUGUAAGCCUGCGAAGGUGUGCUGUGAGGCAUGCUGGAGGUAUCAGAAGUGCGAAUGCUGACAUAAGUAACGAUAAAGCGGGUGAAAAG